This 1372-nucleotide ribosomal RNA is filed under the name uncultured bacterium. RNAcentral describes it as "bacterial SSU rRNA". It matches the Rfam family "Bacterial small subunit ribosomal RNA", at positions 28 to 1381 of the family's 1533-position model. The record is from RNAcentral.
GAUGAACGCUGGCGGCGUGCCUAAUACAUGCAAGUCGAGCGAACGGACGAGAAGCUUGCUUCUCUGAUGUUAGCGGCGGACGGGUGAGUAACACGUGGAUAACCUACCUAUAAGACUGGGAUAACUUCGGGAAACCGGAGCUAAUACCGGAUAAUAUUUUGAACCGCAUGGUUCAAAAGUGAAAGACGGUCUUGCUGUCACUUAUAGAUGGAUCCGCGCUGCAUUAGCUAGUUGGUAAGGUAACGGCUUACCAAGGCAACGAUGCAUAGCCGACCUGAGAGGGUGAUCGGCCACACUGGAACUGAGACACAGUCCAGACUCCUACGGGAGGCAGCAGUAGGGAAUCUUCCGCAAUGGGCGAAAGCCUGACGGAGCAACGCCGCGUGAGUGAUGAAGGUCUUCGGAUCGUAAAACUCUGUUAUUAGGGAAGAACAUAUGUGUAAGUAACUGUGCACAUCUUGACGGUACCUAAUCAGAAAGCCACGGCUAACUACGUGCCAGCAGCCGCGGUAAUACGUAGGUGGCAAGCGUUAUCCGGAAUUAUUGGGCGUAAAGCGCGCGUAGGCGGUUUUUUAAGUCUGAUGUGAAAGCCCACGGCUCAACCGUGGAGGGUCAUUGGAAACUGGAAAACUUGAGUGCAGAAGAGGAAAGUGGAAUUCCAUGUGUAGCGGUGAAAUGCGCAGAGAUAUGGAGGAACACCAGUGGCGAAGGCGACUUUCUGGUCUGUAACUGACGCUGAUGUGCGAAAGCGUGGGGAUCAAACAGGAUUAGAUACCCUGGUAGUCCACGCCGUAAACGAUGAGUGCUAAGUGUUAGGGGGUUUCCGCCCCUUAGUGCUGCAGCUAACGCAUUAAGCACUCCGCCUGGGGAGUACGACCGCAAGGUUGAAACUCAAAGGAAUUGACGGGGACCCGCACAAGCGGUGGAGCAUGUGGUUUAAUUCGAAGCAACGCGAAGAACCUUACCAAAUCUUGACAUCCUUUGACAACUCUAGAGAUAGAGCCUUCCCCUUCGGGGGACAAAGUGACAGGUGGUGCAUGGUUGUCGUCAGCUCGUGUCGUGAGAUGUUGGGUUAAGUCCCGCAACGAGCGCAACCCUUAAGCUUAGUUGCCAUCAUUAAGUUGGGCACUCUAAGUUGACUGCCGGUGACAAACCGGAGGAAGGUGGGGAUGACGUCAAGUCAUCAUGCCCCUUAUGAUUUGGGCUACACACGUGCUACAAUGGACAAUACAAAGGGCAGCGAAACCGCGAGGUCAAGCAAAUCCCAUAAAGUUGUUCUCAGUUCGGAUUGUAGUCUGCAACUCGACUACAUGAAGCUGGAAUCGCUAGUAAUCGUAGAUCAGCAUGCUACGGUGAACACGUUCCCGGGUCU